Molecule: long non-coding RNA, 828 nt
Organism: Homo sapiens (human)
Lineage: Eukaryota; Metazoa; Chordata; Mammalia; Primates; Hominidae
Exons: 4
Source: RefSeq, a predicted model, not a curated record
ACGGCCUGAGAGUCUCUCUGGAACCCAGGGACCUUGUGUCUGCAAUUUUUAGCACUUGCCACCAGAUGGCACAGUGUAGCAAGUAAACACCAACUGACUGCUCCUCAGGAGUCUUACAAGGAGAGUCACACAGAAAAUAGAGGAAGGGACGCAAACACACAGAGGAGAUGGAAAGGUGCACAGGGAGCAGAGAUUUGGGUAAUACAGCCACGUGGAAUGACGGAAGCCACCAGAAGUUGCAAGAGUAAGCAAAGAAUCCCAAACCCUGAUGCCUCAGGGGCGAAGAAGGUAAUCAAAAUGGCAGAAGUGGUUCCAGGAAGAGACACGACUGAGUUCCAGCAGUUGGGUAGCAUUGGAGAUGGACCCAGGUAUUCUCUGUAGAACCUCCCUAGAACCUCAUGAAGAUGUCAAAUGCAACUUGAUAAAGUAUCAACAAGCGGCAGUGAUAUGCAUCUAUAUGCCAGUUGUAUCCAGCAUGUGAAUUCCAACACUCCUGAUCAAUCACAAUCCUGAUUUGCUUCCUGAAGGAUCUAAGCUUGGAGUCAACUCUAGAACACUUGCAUUGAUUGGACUUACUGCAAGGCAGCAUAUUCUCUCUUAUCCACCCCACUUGUUACUCACAGCAUGCAUUUGCAAGAUGUCUGGCCAGGUUUGGGGGUACAAUGUGUGAAUGUAGAAUAGAUUUCUUUUUUUUCCUCUGAGUCAAUUUUCCCGGUUUCCAUGGGGAAAGAGUCCAUGCUUUUGGCCUUAUUAGCACUGUACCAACUGAGCUCACUGACCCAGAUAAAUAUUGUCUGUCUGACAUGUGCUUCAGGAAUAAUAAAUAUG